AAUUCCUGUAGGAUCCUAUAGGAAUUCCUAUAGGAUCCUAUAGGACAUUCCUAUAGGAAUUCCUAUAGGAUCCUAUAGUAAUC
Paramuricea clavata is the source of this 83-nucleotide non-coding RNA. The record is from the annotation of a GenBank genome assembly. Lineage: Eukaryota; Metazoa; Cnidaria; Anthozoa; Malacalcyonacea; Plexauridae.